RNAcentral lists this non-coding RNA (171 nucleotides) under Taenia asiatica. RNAcentral describes it as "Eukaryotic small subunit ribosomal RNA". It matches the Rfam family "Eukaryotic small subunit ribosomal RNA", at positions 1667 to 1823 of the family's 1831-position model. Lineage: Eukaryota; Metazoa; Platyhelminthes; Cestoda; Cyclophyllidea; Taeniidae. The record is from Rfam by way of RNAcentral.
CACCGCCCGUCGCUACUACCGACUGAGAGGUUUGGUAAGGUCUUUGGAUUGGCGUCAUUGCGGUGGUGGCCGAGAGGCCGCAGAUCGACAGGCGGUGAGAAGACAACCAAACUUGUUCAUUUAGUGGAAGUAAAAGGUGUACCAAGGUUUCCAUAGGUGAACCUGCGGAAG